UCCCAUGUGCUCAAGUCAAGAAGCGGCGCAAACACUCCUACGCGCUGUCUCUGUUACAGUCAUGGAAGAGGAACGCGACUCGCUUGUCCUGCCAUCGGGCCCCGUUAUGGGGUCCAGUGGGUCACGGGGUAGUGGGUUCGUAUCGUCUCAGUAGAGUUGAGUGCAGCCCAUGUCUCUUCUGGCAUCUCAUCCGUGGCUAUGCUCGUAGUUUUGAGGCAUACAUCU
This 225-nucleotide small nucleolar RNA is filed under the name Phanerochaete carnosa HHB-10118-sp. RNAcentral's name for it is "Small nucleolar RNA snR191". It matches the Rfam family "Small nucleolar RNA snR191". Lineage: Eukaryota; Fungi; Basidiomycota; Agaricomycetes; Polyporales; Phanerochaetaceae. The record is from Rfam by way of RNAcentral.